ACGUAGCCUGGUGGCUAGGACGCCAGGCUCAUAAUGUGCAGGUUGCUGGUGCAAGCCCGG
Molecule: transfer RNA, 60 nt
Filed under: Oxyrrhis marina
Lineage: Eukaryota; Dinophyceae; Oxyrrhinales; Oxyrrhinaceae
Source: RNAcentral